RNAcentral lists this ribosomal RNA (279 nucleotides) under uncultured bacterium. RNAcentral's name for it is "partial 16S ribosomal RNA". It matches the Rfam family "Bacterial small subunit ribosomal RNA", at positions 506 to 784 of the family's 1533-position model. The record is from RNAcentral.
UGCCAGCCGCCGCGGUAAUACGUAGGCAGCGAGCGUUGUUCGGAGUUACUGGGCGUAAAGGGUGUGUAGGCGGUUGUUUAAGUUUGGUGUGAAAUCUCCCGGCUCAACUGGGAGGGUGCGCCGAAUACUGAGCGACUAGAGUGCGGGAGAGGAAAGUGGAAUUCCUGGUGUAGCGGUGAAAUGCGUAGAUAUCAGGAGGAACACCGGUGGUGUAGACGGCUUUCUGGACCGUAACUGACGCUGAGACACGAAAGCGUGGGUAGCAAACAGGAUUAGAUA